RNAcentral lists this transfer RNA (77 nucleotides) under Massiliimicrobium timonense. RNAcentral describes it as "tRNA-Thr". It matches the Rfam family "tRNA". From Rfam's summary of the family: Transfer RNA (tRNA) molecules are approximately 80 nucleotides in length. The record is from RNAcentral. RNAcentral also lists the same sequence under 8 other names. Lineage: Bacteria; Bacillati; Bacillota; Erysipelotrichia; Erysipelotrichales; Erysipelotrichaceae.
GCCGACAUAGCUCCAAUCGGUAGAGCAGGCCACUCGUAAUGGUCAGGUUGCAGGUUCAAGUCCUGUUGUCGGCACCA